GGCAGAUAUGACAAGACCUAUAGAAGAUCCACUUCCUUCUGAAGCAGCAGUUGGAGCCUUGCUGCUACACAUUUAAGCUCAGAUUGGAAGAUGAAAGUGGAUUCUUUCUUUUCCAUCUCCAGAUUGCCUUCUCAACCGUGAACUGAAAAAUCCAAAAUAAAGGACAUAUAAUGGAAAACAA
This is a long non-coding RNA of Rhea pennata, 181 nucleotides long. RefSeq lists it as uncharacterized. The record is from RefSeq and is a predicted model, not a curated record. The transcript has 2 exons. Lineage: Eukaryota; Metazoa; Chordata; Aves; Rheiformes; Rheidae.